Molecule: ribosomal RNA, 410 nt
Filed under: human gut metagenome
Description: bacterial LSU rRNA
Rfam family: Bacterial large subunit ribosomal RNA
Source: RNAcentral
GGUUUGGCACCUCGAUGUCGGCUCAUCACAUCCUGGGGCUGAAUUCGGUCCCAAGGGUUCGGCUGUUCGCCGAUUAAAGUGGCACGCGAGCUGGGUUCAGAACGUCGUGAGACAGUUCGGUCCCUAUCUGUUGCGGGCGUAAGAGAUUUGAAGGGAGCUGUCCUUAGUACGAGAGGACCGGGAUGGACGUACCUCUGGUGCACCAGUUGUCCUGCCAAGGGCAUAGCUGGGUAGCUAUGUACGGACGAGAUAAACGCUGAAAGCAUCUAAGCGUGAAACUCCCCCUAAGAUGAGAUCUCUCAUCCUUCAAGGAGUAAGGACCCAGAAAGACGAUCUGGUUGAUAGGCCGAAGGUGGAAGCGCAGUAAUGUGUGCAGCUGAUCGGUACUAAUAGUCCGAGGGCUUGACCUA